CUCCUGACUGACCGAUAGUGAACCAGUACCGUGAGGGAAAGGCGAAAAGAACCCCUGUGAGGGGAGUGAAAUAGAUCCUGAAACCGCAUGCAUACAAGCAGUGGGAGCACCUUCGUGGUGUGACUGCGUACCUUUUGUAUAAUGGGUCAGCGACUUAUAUUCAGUAGCAAGGUUAACCGUAUAGGGGAGCCGUAGAGAAAUCGAGUCUUAAUAGGGCGUUUAGUUGCUGGGUAUAGACCCGAAACCAGGCGAUCUAUCCAUGAGCAGGUUGAAGGUUGGGUAACACUAACUGGAGGACCGAACCCACUGUCGUUGAAAAGCCAGGGGAUGACUUGUGGAUAGGGGUGAAAGGCUAAUCAAGCCUGGUGAUAGCUGGUUCUCCCCGAAAGCUAUUUAGGUAGCGCCUCGGACGAAUACCAUAGGGGGUAGAGCACUGUUUCGGCUAGGGGGUCAUCCCGACUUACCAAACCGAUGCAAACUCCGAAUACCUAUGAGUACUAUCCGGGAGACAGACUGCGGGUGCUAACGUCCGUAGUCAAGAGGAAAACAAUCCAGACCGCCAGCUAAGGCCCCAAAAUCAUAGUUAAGUGGGAAACGAUGUGGGAAGGCAUAGACAGCUAGGAGGUUGGCUUAGAAGCAGCCACCCUUUAAAGAAAGCGUAAUAGCUCACUAGUCGAGUCGGCCUGCGCGGAAGAUGUAACGGGGCUAAAA
Molecule: ribosomal RNA, 711 nt
Filed under: Acinetobacter baumannii
Lineage: Bacteria; Pseudomonadati; Pseudomonadota; Gammaproteobacteria; Moraxellales; Moraxellaceae
Description: partial 23S ribosomal RNA
Rfam family: Bacterial large subunit ribosomal RNA
Source: RNAcentral